CGAAGGGUGCUAGCGUUGUUCGGAAUCACUGGGCGUAAAGCGUGCGUAGGCGGCUUUACAAGUCAGGGGUGAAAUCCUGGAGCUUAACUCCAGAAUUGCCUUUGAAACUGUAAAGCUGGAGUACUGGAGGGGAUAGCGGAAUUCCUAAUGUAGAGGUGAAAUUCGUAGAUAUUAGGAGGAACACCGGUGGCGAAGGCGGCUAUCUGGACAGUAACUGACGCUCUGGCACGAAAGCGUGGGUAUCAAACAGGAUUAGAUACCCUGGUAGUCCACGCUGUAAACGAUGGAUGUUAGCCGUCGGGUCAGUUAAGUACGAGUGUAUCUCGUAUUUAAUUGACUCGGUGGCGUAGCUAACGCGUUAAACAUCCCGCCUGGGGAGUACGGUCGCAAGAUUA
This 395-nucleotide ribosomal RNA is filed under the name uncultured organism. RNAcentral describes it as "bacterial SSU rRNA". It matches the Rfam family "Bacterial small subunit ribosomal RNA", at positions 526 to 896 of the family's 1533-position model. The record is from RNAcentral.